This 460-nucleotide ribosomal RNA is filed under the name uncultured bacterium. Its description in RNAcentral is "SSU rRNA". It matches the Rfam family "Bacterial small subunit ribosomal RNA", at positions 26 to 518 of the family's 1533-position model. The record is from RNAcentral.
AGAAUCAACGCUGGCGGCGUGCCUAACACAUGCAAGUCGCACGAGAAAGGGGACUUCGGUCCUGAGUACAGUGGCGCACGGGUGAGUAACACGUGAAUAAUCUACCUCCGAGUGGGGAAUAACUGAGAGAAAUCUUAGCUAAUACCGCAUAACACUUACGAGUCAAAGCAGCAAUGCGCUUGGAGAGGAGUUCGCGGCAGAUUAGUUAGUUGGCGGGGUAAUGGCCCACCAAGACGAUGAUCUGUAUCCGGCCUGAGAGGGCGCACGGACACACUGGAACUGAAACACGGUCCAGACUCCUACGGGAGGCAGCAGUGGGGAAUUUUGCGCAAUGGGGGAAACCCUGACGCAGCAACGCCGCGUGGAGGAUGAAUCCCUUGGGAUGUAAACUCCUUUCGAUAGGGAAGAUAAUGACGGUACCUAUAGAAGAAGCCCCGGCUAACUUCGCGCCAGCAGCCGC